GCUGGGUUUGGUGGCUCACGCCUGUGAUCCCAGCACUUUGGGAGGCUGAGGUGGGUGGAUCAUCUGAGGUCAGGAGUUCAGCCUGGCCAACUCUACUAAAAAUACAAAAAUUAGNNNNNNNNNNCACUAGCUGGGAUUACAGGCACCCGCCACCAUGCCCGGCUAAUUUUUGUAUUUUUAGUAGAGUUGGCCAGGCUGAACUCCUGACCUCAGAUGAUCCACCCACCUCAG
Molecule: signal recognition particle RNA, 231 nt
Filed under: Gorilla gorilla gorilla (western lowland gorilla)
Lineage: Eukaryota; Metazoa; Chordata; Mammalia; Primates; Hominidae
Description: Metazoan signal recognition particle RNA
Rfam family: Metazoan signal recognition particle RNA
About the family: The signal recognition particle (SRP) is a universally conserved ribonucleoprotein. It is involved in the co-translational targeting of proteins to membranes.
Source: Rfam by way of RNAcentral